Molecule: ribosomal RNA, 506 nt
Filed under: uncultured bacterium
Lineage: Bacteria
Description: partial 16S ribosomal RNA
Rfam family: Bacterial small subunit ribosomal RNA
Source: RNAcentral
AUUGAACGCUGGUGGCAGGCCUAACACAUGCAAGUCGAACGGUAACAGGAAGAAGCUUGCUUCUUUGCUGACGAGUGGCGGACGGGUGGGUAAUGUCUGGGAAACUGCCUGAUGGAGGGGGAUAACUACUGGAAACGGUAGCUAAUACCGCAUAACGUCGCAAGACCAAAGAGGGGGACCUUCGGGCAUCUUGCCAUCGGAUGUGCCCAGGUGGGAUUAGCUAGUUGGUGGGGUAACGGCUCACCAAGGCGACGAUCCCUAGCUGGUCUGAGAGGAUGACCAGCCACACUGGAACUGAGACACGGUCCAGACUCCUACGGGAGGCAGCAGUGGGGAAUAUUGCACAAUGGGCGCAAGCCUGAUGCAGCCAUGCCGCGUGUAUGAAGAAGGCCUUCGGGUUGUAAAGUACUUUCAGCGGGGAGGAAGGGAGUAAAGUUAAUACCUUUGCUCAUUGACGUUACCCGCAGAAGAAGCACCGGCUAACUCCGUGCCAGCCGCCGCCGUAA